Molecule: ribosomal RNA, 494 nt
Filed under: uncultured bacterium
Lineage: Bacteria
Description: bacterial SSU rRNA
Rfam family: Bacterial small subunit ribosomal RNA
Source: RNAcentral
GACGCUGGCGGCGUGUCUUAGCCAUGCAAGUCGAGCGGACUUAUGGGGUAACUUAUAAGUCAGCGGCGGACGGCGGAGUAACACGUAGCUAACCUACCCUCUGGACGGGGGAUAACCUCCGAAAGGUGGGCUAAUACCCGAUGUAGUCAUCCUGUAUAGGGGUGAUGAAAGGUGGGCUUCUGUUUACAAGCUCAUGCUGGAGGAGGGGGCUGCGGCCUAUCAGGUAGUUGGUAGGGUAAUAGCCUACCAAGCCGAUGACGGGUAGCCGGCCUGAGAGGGUGACCGGCCCGAGGGGCACUGAGAUACGGGUCCCACUCCUACGGGAGGCAGCAGGCUAGAAAUUUGGGCAAUGGGGGAAACCCUGACCCAGUGACGCCGCGUGCAGGAAGGAGCCCUUCGGGGUGCAAACUGCUGUCGUGUAGGGAGAAGGGUACUAAGGUGAACAAUCUUAGUACUUGACGGUACUACAGGAGGAAGCCCAGGCUAACCUCGUG